UUGAGUGUGUGGUGUGUGUGUGUGUGUGAGUGUGUGUGUUGUGUGUGUGUGUGUGUCAACUCGUGUCGCAGUUCGUCUCUAAAGCUGCAGAAUGUGUCAUAUCAGAUCCACAAUGAACCGAUCACUCAGUGAUUAUUGAUGUAUUGAUCAGCGAUCAGUUUGCUGCUGAAGGUUUUUGGUUUUAUUGAUCCGACCGCAGGAAAUCAGCUUUGAUCUUUCCUUUCUCCUGAUGAGAGGAAAUAAAUGGUUUAAAACAAUUCAUUUGGUUUUUAUAACGUUUCAACUUUUGAAUGUUUCAGAAAGUUUUUGUGACGAAAAUAAAUAAUUCUGAACUUUUACUUUACUUUUAAAGACUGUGAUCAUUUCUUGAAGUGGUGUUAAUGUCUAACCCCGAGCUUUAUACGAAUACUAUAAAGGGAAAUUAUAUAUUUAUAUUUUGGUCAACAAAUCUCUUGAAAAGACCGACAACGAAUUAAACUGAAACCGUUCAUUCGCUCCUUCCAGUGUAACAGACGCCGACUGACGUUUCACACACGGAUCGACUUUACUGUCGUCAAUAACGGGUUCACUGUAUAAACUGACCUGUUGCAUUGUGGGAGUGUUUGAGUUCUGUAAACUGUUAAUCAGAUUAAAACACGGUGCCAGCACACGGCUGUUGUUGUUGUUGUUGUUUAGGGGAGCGUACCUGGACUCAUCAGUAGGUGGCAGUACGCAGUGAGGAGUAAGAUACUCAGAAGAUGUGAGAAGUUACUAUUUUGACAUUAGAUAGUAAACAAGGGUAAACAAAAAUAAAGUGUUGUUAUUGAUACUAAAUCAGGAAGUUGCGAUCACAACAGUUUUCGUCGGUUUCGUCGAAUCGAGGCAACUUUUGCUCAAAUUUGACCGAUUUAUUAACGUUUCCAGUGACUGUUAUCAAUAAUAAACAGUCCUACUGAUUUUAUUCUCACUGGAACAAUUUGCCUUCGAUUUGUUUUAUUUUGUAGGAAUUCAUUUUAUUUUGAAAAUUUGCUGUGAAAUCAGUGGUUUAGCAGUUUUAUCAGUUCCCUGAAACAACCUGUGAAUCCUGGAGCGACUGAUUAACGUUGGCUCACUGCUACACUUAAUUAGUAUCAUCAGUAAUGUGUUUACCCUAUUUCUGCAUCAGAAGAGCUGCUGUGAAAAAGGCCCAUUUAAAAAACACAUCACAGUCCCACACACACACUGCUGUGUUCAUCCGCAGCAGGAAGUAGUUCCUCCGGUUUGUGAACAGCCUCGUGCUCAGUGGAAAGUAUUGAUUGGUUGUUAUUGGUUUAUUGAUCUUUUCAGGGGAUUUUAUUGACACGAACACAAACUGUGUGAUCAGUUUUCCUUAUAAUCUGAAGGAAGUUGUUACUGCUUUUUAACUGAUGGGCUCAUUAAAGAUUUCUCCCUCUUCCUCCUCUGUAUUCGUGUUAUUGAACGCUGUACGAUACAAAUACAGACUAUCAGUGUAAAAGCUGUAAAGGUUAUUGGAUCUUGAACCCUUCUUUUUAAGGUGUCGUUGGAAUCAAUGGGAGAAUAUUUCUACCUGAAAUAUCCUAUAAAAUAUAAAUAUUCAGAAUUUGAAACUGAACCAUUUCAUUGAAACACUGAAUGUCGCAGGGUUUUUAAUAACGGUACUCUACAAUAGAUACAAAACAAAUAAAUCAUUGUAUUAAUUUCCUGGAAAAUAACGUAAUGUUUCUUCUUUUUUAAAAUGUAUUUUAGUGGCUUUAGUAGAUGUUUUUAUGUUUUGUAUGUUCAGUGUUUUUAUGACUGGUGAGAGAAUGAUUAAACGGUUUUUAAAACAAA
This is a long non-coding RNA of Morone saxatilis (striped sea-bass), 1809 nucleotides long. RefSeq lists it as uncharacterized. The transcript has 2 exons. The record is from RefSeq and is a predicted model, not a curated record. Lineage: Eukaryota; Metazoa; Chordata; Actinopteri; Moronidae.